This 497-nucleotide ribosomal RNA is filed under the name uncultured bacterium. RNAcentral's name for it is "partial 16S ribosomal RNA". It matches the Rfam family "Bacterial small subunit ribosomal RNA", at positions 28 to 507 of the family's 1533-position model. The record is from RNAcentral.
GACGAACGCUGGCGGCGUGCCUAAUACAUGCAAGUCGAACGCUGAAGCUUGGUGCUUGCACCGAGCGGAUGAGUUGCGAACGGGUGAGUAACGCGUAGGUAACCUGCCUGGUAGCGGGGGAUAACUAUUGGAAACGAUAGCUAAUACCGCAUAAGAGUAGAUGUUGCAUGACAUUUGCUUAAAAGGUGCAAUUGCAUCACUACCAGAUGGACCUGCGUUGUAUUAGCUAGUUGGUGAGGUAACGGCUCACCAAGGCAACGAUACAUAGCCGACCUGAGAGGGUGAUCGGCCACACUGGGACUGAGACACGGCCCAGACUCCUACGGGAGGCAGCAGUAGGGAAUCUUCGGCAAUGGACGGAAGUCUGACCGAGCAACGCCGCGUGAGUGAAGAAGGGUUUCGGAUCGUAAAGCUCUGUUGUAAGAGAAGAACGAGUGUGAGAGUGGAAAGUUCACACUGUGACGGUAUCUUACCAGAAAGAGACGGCUAACUACGUG